Molecule: unclassified non-coding RNA, 521 nt
Filed under: Hevea brasiliensis (rubber tree)
Lineage: Eukaryota; Viridiplantae; Streptophyta; Magnoliopsida; Malpighiales; Euphorbiaceae
Source: RNAcentral
UUCGACCUUGCCAUGCCCAUGUUCCUCAAGAUCGCCGAAUACCGUGCCGGCAUCGUCCCCGUCUCUUAUCGCCGGGUGCCAUGCAGAAAGGGAGGAGGAAUCAGGUUCACCAUCAACGGCUUCCGUUACUUCAACCUUGUAUUGAUCACCAACGUCGCAGGAGCAGGAGAUAUCGUGAAGGCGAGCGUAAAAGGAUCAAAGACUGGAUGGAUGAGCUUGAGUCGUAACUGGGGUCAAAAUUGGCAAUCAAAUGCUAUUUUGGUUGGUCAGUCACUCUCCUUCAGGGUCACAGGCAGUGAUAGACGUACCUCAACUUCCUGGAAUAUUGUCCCUUCAAAUUGGCAAUUUGGCCAAACUUUCACCGGGAAGAAUUUCAGGGUCUAAUUUAGUAAUUUUCCCUCCUAAUAUUUUCCCCUUUUUUUAAUUUUUGGAUUUCUGUUUCCUUUUUAUGGGAAAAGUUGAAAUGGGGAAAGUGCGUUAUUAAGCUUUUAAAAGAGGGUUCUUCCUUUUUUUUGUAUUUU